AUCUGCCUUUGAGCGGGGGACAACAUUUGGAAACGAAUGCUAAUACCGCAUAACAACUUUAAACACAAGUUUUAAGUUUGAAAGAUGCAAUUGCAUCACUCAAAGAUGAUCCCGCGUUGUAUUAGCUAGUUGGUGAGGUAAAGGCUCACCAAGGCGAUGAUACAUAGCCGACCUGAGAGGGUGAUCGGCCACAUUGGGACUGAGACACGGCCCAAACUCCUACGGGAGGCAGCAGUAGGGAAUCUUCGGCAAUGGACGAAAGUCUGACCGAGCAACGCCGCGUGAGUGAAGAAGGUUUUCGGAUCGUAAAACUCUGUUGGUAGAGAAGAACGUUGGUGAGAGUGGAAAGCUCAUCAAGUGACGGUAACUACCCAGAAAGGGACGGCUAACUACGUGCCAGCAGCCGCGGUAAUACGUAGGUCCCGAGCGUUGUCCGGAUUUAUUGGGCGUAAAGCGAGCGCAGGUGGUUUAUUAAGUCUGGUGUAAAAGGCAGUGGCUCAACCAUUGUAUGCAUUGGAAACUGGUAGACUUGAGUGCAGGAGAGGAGAGUGGAAUUCCAUGUGUAGCGGUGAAAUGCGUAGAUAUAUGGAGGAACACCGGUGGCGAAAGCGGCUCUCUGGCCUGUAACUGACACUGAGGCUCGAAAGCGUGGGGAGCAAACAGGAUUAGAUACCCUGGUAGUCCACGCCGUAAACGAUGAGUGCUAGAUGUAGGGAGCUAUAAGUUCUCUGUAUCGCAGCUAA
RNAcentral lists this ribosomal RNA (743 nucleotides) under uncultured bacterium. RNAcentral's name for it is "bacterial SSU rRNA". It matches the Rfam family "Bacterial small subunit ribosomal RNA", at positions 124 to 855 of the family's 1533-position model. The record is from RNAcentral.